GUGUCAGCAGCCGCGGUAAUACGUAGGGGGCGAGCGUUGUCCGGAAUGACUGGGCGUAAAGGGCGCGUAGACGGUUGUCUAAGUCUGGAGUGAAAGUCCUGCUUUCAAGGUGGGAAUUGCUUUGGAGACUGAAUGACUUGAGUGCGGAAGAGGUAAGUGGAAUUCCCAGUGUAGCGGUGAAAUGCGUAGAGAUUGGGAAGAACACCAGUGGCGAAGGCGACUUACUGGGCCGUAACUGACGUUGAUGCGCGAAAGCGUGGGGAGCGAACAGGAUUAGAUACCCUGGUAGUCCACGCGGUAAACGAUGAGUGCUAGGUGUAGCGGGUAUCGACCCCUGCUGUGCCGGAGUUAACACAAUAAGCACUCCGCCUGGGGAGUACGGCCGCAAGGUUGAA
This 395-nucleotide ribosomal RNA is filed under the name uncultured bacterium. RNAcentral describes it as "bacterial SSU rRNA". It matches the Rfam family "Bacterial small subunit ribosomal RNA", at positions 505 to 898 of the family's 1533-position model. The record is from RNAcentral.